Molecule: ribosomal RNA, 253 nt
Filed under: uncultured bacterium
Lineage: Bacteria
Description: partial 16S ribosomal RNA
Rfam family: Bacterial small subunit ribosomal RNA
Source: RNAcentral
UACAGAGGGUGCAAGCGUUAAUCGGAAUUACUGGGCGUAAAGCGUGCGUAGGUGGUCUGUUAAGUCAGGUGUGAAAUCCUUGGGCUCAACCUGAGAAUUGCAUUUGAUACUGACAGACUGGAGUGUGGUAGAGGGUAGUGGAAUUCCCGGUGUAGCGGUGAAAUGCGUAGAUAUCGGGAGGAACAUCAGUGGCGAAGGCGGCUACCUGGACUAACACUGACACUGAGGCACGAAAGCGUGGGUAGCAAACAGG